Molecule: long non-coding RNA, 858 nt
Organism: Portunus trituberculatus (swimming crab)
Lineage: Eukaryota; Metazoa; Arthropoda; Malacostraca; Decapoda; Portunidae
Exons: 2
Source: RefSeq, a predicted model, not a curated record
CGGUGCCGGCAAGGAACAGGGAAGGCCUGGGGCGGUGUUCACUCCCCUCAGAGCAGUGAUCGCCCCUGGUCCUCCUCUCAGCGCCGCCCGCCCAUCCCCUGCCUCCCAGUGGGCCCGUCAGUAGCUGCGUGCUCGUCCACCUGUUGCGUCAGGGAGUCACCUGUGGCGCCGCGCCCUCCUAUACCGUCAGUCAGGUGGUCGCCCGCGCUCACCCCGCAUCGCCUGCCUCCUUGCACUGCUGCUCGCUCCCCGCCACUAGUGUGAGGAAGAGGAAGAAGGCGAAUAGAUUGAAGGACAGAAGAGAUACAGAGAAAGAGAGAAAGAGAAAGACACUCAUACCCUCACACAGACAGAAGCUGAGUGCCGUACCAUCUCAGUGCGACCUCCUUUGUCCAUUGAGGUUAAGAGAAGGCGCCGUGGUGUUCAUGUCUCCUUCAGAAGCAGGAUAUUCCCUUCAACCGAGUAAUAGGAGAGAAAGAUAGAAGAGAAGAAUUAAGGAUCUUUCAUCUUUUCCCUCUCUCUCCCUCUCCCGCGCUGACAAAAGAGCUGAUAUAUUAGAAAAGAAAAAGAGAAUUUGAUCGUGAAAUAUUUUAGUUUUAUAUUUACAUAAAGGGAAAAAAAUACAGCAAGGUCGACGUUCGUUCUGAAAUGAAUAAGUGACAAGAAAAUAAAGAUUUGUUCGUGUACGUGCUAAAUUUAGACGCGUGUGUGGAAUUCGGGGCUGAAAUUUAAUCAGUACGGGAAAAUCUUGAAAAAAAAAGAGUUGAAGUAGAGAAAAAUAGUCCAUCGGGUCAGACCAGAAAAUAAGAAAAAAAAAGAAAACGACGUGAUGAAAAAAUAAAGGAAAAGACAGAAAGA